GAGAAAUCUGAAUUGCCUUGCUUAUUGACUCUUAGAAAGAAAAAUGAAUAAUCUAGGUCUAACUGCUAAACCUGAAGGUUGAUGACUGUCAUUAGAAUAUGAAGGAGAUUUUCAUGAUCCGGCUGUUAUCAAUUUAGGCACAUGGCCCUGUAUGUGGGCGGGCAGAGGAUGACAAUGCAAUCCUCGCUGAAUCAACAGGAUGAAGAUCACCCUUUGGAUACUGCAAGAGUUGUGACCUACAACCUGAAUGCACACUACAUCAC
Long non-coding RNA from Hemicordylus capensis (graceful crag lizard), 263 nucleotides. RefSeq lists it as uncharacterized. The record is from RefSeq and is a predicted model, not a curated record. The transcript has 3 exons. NCBI's taxonomy places the organism in Eukaryota, Metazoa, Chordata, Lepidosauria, Squamata, Cordylidae.